GGGUCCAACUUCAUUCUUCUGCAUGUGGAUAUCUAAUUUUUCCAACACAAUUUGUUGAAGACAUUGUCCUUUCCACAUUGAAUGACCUUGGCACCCUUGUCGGAGAUCAUUUGCCCAUGGAGACUGCGAGCUUCCUGGGCGGCCCAGCUCAGAUUGUGGGCCCCAAACACUGCUGACUCCUACUCCCCUUCCAAGGCACAUGGCGACCUGCACUUACUCCAGGGAGCCUCCUGGACCACCAGACCACAAAGCUCCAAGGAAAGUCACUGUUAUAUUUGCUGGCAUAGUUCCUAGCAUUUAUAGUUGCUCAGUAACUACGAGAUGGAUGGAUGGAUGGAUGAACAAAUGGGACAGAUGGACAGAAGGAUCAAUGAAGGAGCAGCUGGGCCAUUUUCCGGCUACCGCCAGAGGGCAGUACCCCACAACCCAAUGGCCCCACCCUGGGUUGGCUUGGAGGCUUGAGAUCCUUGGUCCCCACUCCUGCCCGGUGACUCACGCAGGAGGGCAGGCCACAGAGGAGAGGCAACACGUACGCAGCCCCUGGGAGCCCUGGGAGCAGUUGCGGGUGGGAAGUAGCCACACAUGCAGGCCUAGCACAUACCCAGCAUGCCAAUGCCCAGCAUGAAGGCGUCCAUCCCAUAGGGCAUGACUCGAGACCUCCCCCGGGCUGAGCCCGUCGGCGACAUCACCUCUUUUGGCUGAGCUUUCUUACAUUCCACCUGCAAUGAGACCUGAUGGUCAGUCCCUCCUCCGGACGUAGGGUCGUAGACCCUCUGGUUCCCUAGCCGGCCUCCUUCCUGUUAGGUUCAUAGAUACCAUUUAUGGCGUGCUCGCUGGGCGCUAGAGAUCAUGUAAACAGUUCUGCAGGCAGUUAGGGCUUACACCAAGCCCAGGAGGGGGCAUAGUGCUGCCUCAGACGCGGGGAAGUCAUCUCCCUAAUAAACAGACUAGCAAGUGGUAGAGUGAGGAUGUUAAUCCAGGACUCUCUGACUCCACGAGCCAUGCUUUUUAACCACCAGGAGACACUGGCUUCCUGUCCAGAUCUUCAGGGGGUGGGAGAACUGGCUCUGCCCCGUGGACUGUGAUUCCCUUCUGCCUGCCUCCAGAACCUCCGAGCGCCCGUGUCUCUCUCUGUGCACCUCCACCCGUCCGGUCUCCCCCACUCACCAUUUUGUUGUUGAUUUCAUGGAAGUGUAUUUCACACACUUUCUCCACGAUGUCCUCACUCUCGAACGUGACAAACCCGAACCCUAGAAGGCAAAGGCAGGGACAAAAACCAGGGUUUAUGGUCAAAACCCAGCCCCGAGUGAUACCACAUCAGUACUCCUCUUUCACGGGCCAGUGCCCGAGAGUUAACGGAAGCCUCCGCCCACAGCCUAGGAACCUCUCAACUCCCCUCCUGCUGAGACAGGGUUUCUAGUCCCCACAUUACAGAUGCGAAAGCCAAGGCUCAGAGAAGUGAAGUGACUUGUCCAAGGUCACACAGCAAAUUAGAAAGCGUUAGGGCCGUCAUGAAGAUACACUCAACAUGCCUUUUCGCUUUCUCAGAUGCUUUCCAAAGGAAGGAAGAACACACACAAACACUUACAUACAUUUACACAAAAGUGUACACACCCAAACCUAUGUUUGUACACAGUCACACAUAUACACAGAUGUACGCACACACACAUAUACCUAGGGACCCAUACAUCAUACAGAAACUUGGCAGCGCUCACAAAGGCCCCCCUACACAUGAAGAGUUACCAUGACACACAAGACACAUGCAAAUAUUCAGACACAGACACCCUCGCGUGCACAGAUACAAAUACACACACAUACAUACAUACGUGCACACCCCAGCACACAUCCCAAUCCCCAAACAGGCUAAUACACCCUGAAGCAAUUGGAGAAACAACCCCACCUCCUCCCGGGUGUGCCCCAGGGGUUGGAAUGGGAUUUCUCAGAAGGCAAGGCCCUUGGGAGAAAAACAACCGGGCAAUGCACACUGUGGCCCAGAUGCUCACAGGU
This is a long non-coding RNA of Mirounga angustirostris (Northern elephant seal), 2007 nucleotides long. RefSeq lists it as uncharacterized. The record is from RefSeq and is a predicted model, not a curated record. NCBI's taxonomy places the organism in Eukaryota, Metazoa, Chordata, Mammalia, Carnivora, Phocidae. The transcript is spliced from 3 exons.